Molecule: ribosomal RNA, 445 nt
Filed under: uncultured bacterium
Lineage: Bacteria
Description: partial 16S ribosomal RNA
Rfam family: Bacterial small subunit ribosomal RNA
Source: RNAcentral
GUGAGGAAUAUUGGUCAAUGGGCGGGAGCCUGAACCAGCCAAGUCGCGUGAAGGAAGAAGGAUCUAUGGUUCGUAAACUUCUUUUGCAGGGGAAUAAAGUGCAGGACGUGUCCUGUUUUGUAUGUACUGUACGAAUAAGGAUCGGCUAACUCCGUGCCAGCAGCCGCGGUAAUACGGAGGAUCCGAGCGUUAUCCGGAUUUAUUGGGUUUAAAGGGUGCGUAGGUGGUUUGAUAAGUCAGCGGGGAAAGUUUGCAGCUUAACUGUAAAAAUGCCGUUGAAACUGUCUGACUUGAGUGUAAAUGAGGUAGGCGGAAUGCGUGGUGUAGCGGUGAAAUGCAUAGAUAUCACGCAGAACUCCGAUUGCGAAGGCAGCUUACUAAGCUACAACUGACACUGAAGCACGAAAGCGUGGGGAUCAAACAGGAUUAGAUACCCGUGUAGUCC